RNAcentral lists this ribosomal RNA (253 nucleotides) under uncultured bacterium. Its description in RNAcentral is "partial 16S ribosomal RNA". It matches the Rfam family "Bacterial small subunit ribosomal RNA", at positions 524 to 776 of the family's 1533-position model. The record is from RNAcentral.
UACGGAGGGUGCAAGCGUUAUCCGGAUUCACUGGGCUUAAAGGGUGCGUAGGUGGGCUGGUAAGUCCGUGGUGAAAUCUCCAAGCUUAACUUGGAAACUGCCGUGGAUACUAUUAGUCUUGAAUCUCGUGGAGGUAAGCGGAAUAUGUCAUGUAGCGGUGAAAUGCUUAGAUAUGACAUAGAACACCGAUAGCGAAGGCAGCUUGCUACACGAGUAUUGACACUGAGGCACGAAAGCGUGGGGAUCAAACAGG